UGGGGAAUAUUGGACAAUGGGCGAAAGCCUGAUCCAGCCAUGCCGCGUGAGUGACGAAGGCCUUAGGGUUGUAAAACUCUUUCGUCGGGGACGAUAAUGACGGUACCCGAAGAAGAAGCUCCGGCUAACUUCGUGCCAGCAGCCGCGGUAAUACGAAGGGAGCUAGCGUUGUUCGGAAUCACUGGGCGUAAAGCGCACGUAGGCGGAUAGUUAAGUCAGGGGUGAAAUCCUGGGGCUCAACCCCAGAACUGCCUUUGAUACUGGCUGUCUCGAGGUCGAGAGAGGUUGGUGGAAUUCCUAGUGUAGAGGUGAAAUUCGUAGACAUUAGGAAGAACACCAGUGGCGAAGGCGGCCAACUGGCUCGAUACUGACGCUGAGGUGCGAAAGCGUGGGGAGCAAACAGGAUUAGAUACCCAAGUAGUCCCUGAGCGGGCUGGCAAGGCGCAU
RNAcentral lists this ribosomal RNA (447 nucleotides) under uncultured bacterium. Its description in RNAcentral is "bacterial SSU rRNA". It matches the Rfam family "Bacterial small subunit ribosomal RNA", at positions 355 to 825 of the family's 1533-position model. The record is from RNAcentral.